UACGGAGGAUGCGAGCGUUAUCCGGAUUUAUUGGGUUUAAAGGGUGCGUAGGCGGUCUGUUAAGUCAGCGGUAAAAUUGCGGGGCUCAACCCCGUCGAGCCGUUGAAACUGUGUGGCUGGAGACGGAGAGAAGUAGGCGGAAUGCGCGGUGUAGCGGUGAAAUGCAUAGAUAUCACGCAGAACUCCGAUUGCGAAGGCAGCAUACCGGCGCUCAACUGACGCUCAUGCACGAAAGCGUGGGUAUCGAA
Molecule: ribosomal RNA, 248 nt
Filed under: uncultured Muribaculaceae bacterium
Lineage: Bacteria; Pseudomonadati; Bacteroidota; Bacteroidia; Bacteroidales; Muribaculaceae
Description: partial 16S ribosomal RNA
Rfam family: Bacterial small subunit ribosomal RNA
Source: RNAcentral